RNAcentral lists this ribosomal RNA (509 nucleotides) under uncultured bacterium. Its description in RNAcentral is "partial 16S ribosomal RNA". It matches the Rfam family "Bacterial small subunit ribosomal RNA", at positions 355 to 855 of the family's 1533-position model. The record is from RNAcentral.
UGGGGAAUUUUGGACAAUGGGCGCAAGCCUGAUCCAGCAAUGCCGCGUGCAGGAUGAAGGCCUUCGGGUUGUAAACUGCUUUUGUACGGAACGAAAAGCCUCUCUCUAAUACAGGGGGGUGAUGACGGUACCGUAAGAAUAAGCACCGGCUAACUACGUGCCAGCAGCCGCGGUAAUACGUAGGGUGCAAGCGUUAAUCGGAAUUACUGGGCGUAAAGCGUGCGCAGGCGGUUUUGUAAGACAGUGGUGAAAUCCCCGGGCUCAACCUGGGAACUGCCAUUGUGACUGCAAGGCUGGAGUGCGGCAGAGGGGGAUGGAAUUCCGCGUGUAGCAGUGAAAUGCGUAGAUAUGCGGAGGAACACCGAUGGGAAGGCAAUCCCCUGGGCCUGCACUGACGCUCAUGCACGAAAAGCGUGGGGAGCAAAACAGGAUUAGAUACCCCUGGUAGUCCACGCCCUAAACGAUGUCAACUGGUUGUUGGGGAUUUAUUUCUUCAGUAACGAAGCUAA